UCAUCGUCUUUUUUCGUUUCAAAACAACCUUAGAAUUGGUCCCUCCCUAUAAUAAUAGUAUCACAUUUCUCCUCUUCCUUUGUUCCUUCCAUGUCCAAACCUAUGUUACUGGGACCUGGUGAAUCUUAUCUGGGUCAGUGGUGAAGUGAGUGGUGACUACCCCUUUUGCCUUUUCAUAUAUAUAAGCUUGUGUUGUGUGUGGGAAGUGAAAGAGAAUUUGUAAUUAGCUGUUAAAGAUGAGUGCUUUGUCUAAGAAGAGUGAAGAAUUUCGGAAGAAGAGAGAUGGGUUGGUUAAGAAAGAGUCGUUAACUGAUUCCACUGCUGAGUCAAGAGAAAGCAGUUUCAGUGGAUCAAAUUCAAGUUCCUCAUGUUCAUCAAAUGAAGAAGCAAAAGCAGCAAAAGGGUCUUCUUCUCCAUCUCCACCUGCUCCUCCACUUGGAUGGCCUAUUCUGAAAGCUGCAGUUUCCAAGUGUGGGAAAUCUGAUGAAAAAGAUAAUGAUCAAGAACAUCAUUUGGAUGACACAAAAUUUAGUAGUAUUGGUUCAAAAGUGUCAGAUGCUGAAAUGAUGAAGGAAAGGUUUGCAAAAUUGUUGCUUGGUGAAGACAUGUCAGGUUCUGGGAAAGGGGUUUGUACUACUUUGGCCAUCUCAAAUGCUAUCACUAAUCUGUGCGCCACUGUGUUUGGACAAUUAUGGAGAUUAGAACCUCUACCUUCUGAAAAGAAAGCUAUGUGGAGAAGAGAGAUGGAAUGGCUUGUUAGUGUUAGUGAUCACAUUGUUGAACUAAUACCUUCAUGGAAGCAAGCUAGAGGUAAUGACUUGCAGGCCAAGGACACAUAUUUUUAUCAAUGUUCCAGCGCUUAGGAAACUUGAUAACAUGCUUCUCGACAUAUUGGAUGGUUUCGCCUCCACUGAGUUCUGGUAUGUUGACCAAGGAAUUGUAGCCCCGGAAGCCGAUGCAACAGCCUCAUUUCGCAAGACGAUUCAACGGCAAGACAAGAAGUGGUGGCUCCCGGUGCCCCGUGUUUUAACGAUUAACGAUUAACGACUCUUAACGUUGUCAUGUCCCUGGGACGAAUGAAACCCGACACAUAAGACUUUGCAAUUCAAUUCCAAUGGCUUUGAAAACCUUCUUCACUCUUCUCCACAAUUCACAACACUCUUCUUCCACAACCUUCUUCUCAAUCCCCUGUUUCUGCAUUCUUCACAAUGAACAUCCUGCAUUUAUCAACAUUUUUUACUAAGAGGAAGCUCCAUCUUACUCUUCUUCUCACAACUUUUCUUUCGAGUAAUUUAUCAAACACUAGUGGUGCAUUGUUGAUGGCUCAAGAGUUGGACUUGGAACUUCAGAGAUACACUGAUUCUAAGAAAGGUUUCACUCUUCUUAUACCCUCUUCUUGGACUAAGGGAGGAGGUUGUGCCAGCUGCAGAGGAGGAGGUAGUGCCAACUGCACAAGAGGAGGCAGCACCAACAAAGACAAGAUAUCAUUGGACCCAAGAUGAACAUAGAAAUUGUGCCCUAUUCCGAAGUUUUUAAUGGAUGGAGGAGAAUUUGCUUACAGGAG
RNA transcript from Arachis stenosperma, 1564 nucleotides. It is a transcript of the gene named rop guanine nucleotide exchange factor 5-like, with no coding region annotated. The transcript has 7 exons. NCBI's taxonomy places the organism in Eukaryota, Viridiplantae, Streptophyta, Magnoliopsida, Fabales, Fabaceae. The record is from RefSeq and is a predicted model, not a curated record.